UGGGGAAUAUUGCACAAUGGGCGCAAGCCUGAUGCAGCCAUGCCGCGUGUAUGAAGAAGGCCUUCGGGUUGUAAAGUACUUUCAGCGGGGAGGAAGGGAGUAAAGUUAAUACCUUUGCUCAUUGACGUUACCCGCAGAAGAAGCACCGGCUAACUCCGUGCCAGCAGCCGCGGUAAUACGGAGGGUGCAAGCGUUAAUCGGAAUUACUGGGCGUAAAGCGCACGCAGGCGGUUUGUUAAGUCAGAUGUGAAAUCCCCGGGCUCAACCUGGGAACUGCAUCUGAUACUGGCAAGCUUGAGUCUCGUAGAGGGGGGUAGAAUUCCAGGUGUAGCGGUGAAAUGCGUAGAGAUCUGGAGGAAUACCGGUGGCGAAGGCGGCCCCCUGGACGAAGACUGACGCUCAGGUGCGAAAGCGGGGGGAGCAAACAGG
Molecule: ribosomal RNA, 429 nt
Filed under: Chloroflexota bacterium
Lineage: Bacteria; Bacillati; Chloroflexota
Description: Chloroflexi bacterium partial 16S ribosomal RNA
Rfam family: Bacterial small subunit ribosomal RNA
Source: RNAcentral